This 312-nucleotide long non-coding RNA is filed under the name Medicago truncatula (barrel medic). RNAcentral's name for it is "lncRNA gene43394". The record is from RNAcentral. Lineage: Eukaryota; Viridiplantae; Streptophyta; Magnoliopsida; Fabales; Fabaceae.
GGGGGGUGGUAUAUAUCUGCAUAUAUAAAUUGAUUGAAUAUAAGAAAAGAGGCUGCUUUCGUUGGUGGUUGGAGUUGGUAUAGAAAAUGGUUUUGUAUAGGAGUUGAGAUGGCUCCUUCAUUGAAGUAGGUGACUUUCAAACAUUGAACUAAAAUUAGAGAAAGAGUUAGUUUGGCUGCUUUAUUUAAUGGAGUUGAUUUUUUAUUUGACUUUUUAGGUUUUUCCUUUUCUACUUGGAUUUUUCUUUGCUUUGACUUUGAAGGGUUCCUUUGUUACUACUGGUACUUGUAUUAAUUGGAAACGAAGUAUUUU